Molecule: ribosomal RNA, 408 nt
Filed under: uncultured bacterium
Lineage: Bacteria
Description: partial 16S ribosomal RNA
Rfam family: Bacterial small subunit ribosomal RNA
Source: RNAcentral
AGUGAACGCUGGCGGCGUGCCUAAUACAUGCAAGUCGAACGGAGUGGAGCACGGGCGAGUAAUGUAUAGCUAAUCCGCCCUACACUAGAGGAAAACAGUUGGUAACGGCUGCUAAUACUCCAUAGUGUAGGAUGAGGCUAUACUGUAUCAGAUAGCUGGUGAGGUAAUGGCACACCAAGGCUAUGACGCAUAACUGGUCUGAGAGGAUGUGCAGUCACACUGUAACUGAGUCACGAGCCAGACUCCUUCGAGAAUCAGCAGUAGCGAAUAGUUCUCAAGGGGGGUGACCCUGAAGCAGCAACGCCGCGUGGAGUAUGACACUUUUCGGAGCAUAAACUCCUUUUGUUAAAGAUGCGUUACCUAACGAAUAAGCACCGGCUAACUCCGUGCCAGCAGCCGCGGUAAUAC